GCGAUCAUACCAACACAAAUGCACCAGAUCCUAUCAGUACUCUGAAGUUAUGCGUGCUUGUGCGAGAGCAGUACUAGGAUGUGUGACCCCUUCGGAAGUCCUCGUGUUGCAUCU
Molecule: ribosomal RNA, 114 nt
Filed under: Zingiber officinale
Lineage: Eukaryota; Viridiplantae; Streptophyta; Magnoliopsida; Zingiberales; Zingiberaceae
Source: RNAcentral